AGUAUAAGCAAUUAUACCGCGAAACUGCGAAUGGCUCAUUAAAUCAGUUAUCGUUUAUUUGAUAGUUCCCUACUACUUGGAUAACCGUGGUAAUUCUAGAGCUAAUACAUGCAAAAAACCGCGACUUCGGAAGCGGUGUAUUUAUUAGAUUAAAGACCAAUGCCCUUCGGGGCUGACUGGUGAUUCAUGAUAACUUCUCGAAUCGCACGGCCUUGCGCCGGCGAUGGUUCAUUCAAAUUUCUGCCCUAUCAACUUUCGACUUUAGCGUAGUGGGCUAAAGUGGUUACAACGGGUAACGGAGGGUUAGGGCUCGACCCCGGAGAAGGAGCCUGAGAGACGGCUACUACAUCCAAGGAAGGCAGCAGGCGCGCAAAUUACCCAAUCCCGACACGGGGAGGUAGUGACAAUAAAUACUGAUACAGGGCUCUUUUGGGUCUUGUAAUUGGAAUGAGUACAAUUUAAAUCCCUUAACGAGGAACAAUUGGAGGGCAAGUCUGGUGCCAGCAGCCGCGGUAAUUCCAGCUCCAAUAGCGUAUAUUAAAGUUGUUGUGGUUAAAAAGCUCGUAGUUGAACCUGGGCCUCGCGCAGACCGGUCCGCCUCACCGCGUGCACUGGUCCUGCCGGGGCUUUCACUAGGGGAUUCGCAUGCCCUUCACUGGGCGUGCGCGGAACCUGGACCUUUACUGUGAAAAAAUUAGAGUGUUCAAAGCAGGCCUAUGCUCGAAUACAUUAGCAUGGAAUAAUAGAAUAGGACGUGUGGUUCUAUUUUGUUGGUUAUGGGACCGCCGUAAUGAUUAAUAGGGACAGUCGGGGGCAUCAGUAUUCAAUUGUCAGAGGUGAAAUUCUUGGAUUUAUUGAAGACUAACUACUGCGAAAGCAUUUGCCAAGGAUGUUUUCAUUAAUCAGGAACGAAAGUUAGGGGAUCGAAGACGAUCAGAUACCGUCGUAGUCUUAACCAUAAACUAUGCCGACUAGGGAUCGGGCGAUGUUACUUUUUGACUCGCUCGGCACCUUACGAGAAAUCAAAGUUUGUGGGUUCCUGGGGGAAUAUGGUGGCAACGCUGAAACUUAAAGAAAUUGACGGAAGGGC
This 1090-nucleotide ribosomal RNA is filed under the name Lulworthia cf. purpurea. RNAcentral describes it as "SSU rRNA". It matches the Rfam family "Eukaryotic small subunit ribosomal RNA", at positions 62 to 1165 of the family's 1831-position model. Lineage: Eukaryota; Fungi; Ascomycota; Sordariomycetes; Lulworthiales; Lulworthiaceae. The record is from RNAcentral.